GGGUUGUGAGGUUAAGCGACUAAGCGUACACGGUGGAUGCCCUGGCAGUCAGAGGCGAUGAAGGGCGUGCUAAUCUGCGAUAAGCGCCGGUAAGGUGAUAUGAACCGUUAUAACCGGCGAUACCCGAAUGGGGAAACCCAGUGUGACUCGUCACACUAUCAUUAACUGAAUCCAUAGGUUAAUGAGGCGAACCGGGGGAACUGAAACAUCUAAGUACCCCGAGGAAAAGAAAUCAACCGAGAUUCCCCCAGUAGCGGCGAGCGAACGGGGAGGAGCCCAGAGCCUGAAUCAGCAUGUGUGUUAGUGGAAGCGUCUGGAAAGGCGCGCGAUACAGGGUGACAGCCCCGUACACAAAAGCGCAUGUGCUGUGAGCUCGAUGAGUAGGGCGGGACACGUGGUAUCCUGUCUGAAUAUGGGGGGACCAUCCUCCAAGGCUAAAUACUCCUGACUGACCGAUAGUGAACCAGUACCGUGAGGGAAAGGCGAAAAGAACCCCGGCGAGGGGAGUGAAAAAGAACCUGAAACCGUGUACGUACAAGCAGUGGGAGCNNNNGGGCGUUAAGUUGCAGGGUAUAGACCCGAAACCCGGUGAUCUAGCCAUGGGCAGGUUGAAGGUUGGGUAACACUAACUGGAGGACCGAACCGACUAAUGUUGAAAAAUUAGCGGAUGACCUGUGGCUGGGGGUGAAAGGCCAAUCAAACCGGGAGAUAGCUGGUUCUCCCCGAAAGCUAUUUAGGUAGCGCCUCGUGAAUUCAUCUCCGGGGGUAGAGCACUGUUUCGGCUAGGGGGCCAUCCCGGCUUACCAACCCGAUGCAAACUGCGAAUACCGGAGAAUGUUAUCACGGGAGACACACGGCGGGUGCUAACGUCCGUCGUGAAGAGGGAAACAACCCAGACCGCCAGCUAAGGUCCCAAAGUCAUGGUUAAGUGGGAAACGAUGUGGGAAGGCCCAGACAGCCAGGAUGUUGGCUUAGAAGCAGCCAUCAUUUAAAGAAAGCGUAAUAGCUCACUGGUCGAGUCGGCCUGCGCGGAAGAUGUAACGGGGCUAAACCAUGCACCGAAGCUGCGGCAGCGANNUGCUGGAGGUAUCAGAAGUGCGAAUGCUGACAUAAGUAACGAUAAAGCGGGUGAAAAGCCCGCUCGCCGGAAGACCAAGGGUUCCUGUCCAACGUUAAUCGGGGCAGGGUGAGUCGACCCCUAAGGCGAGGCCGAAAGGCGUAGUCGAUGGGAAACGGGUUAAUAUUCCCGUACUUGGUGUUACUGCGAAGGGGGGACGGAGAAGGCUAUGUUGGCCGGGCGACGGUUGUCCCGGUUUAAGCGUGUAGGUGUGUGUUCCAGGUAAAUCCGGUUCACUUUAACACUGAGGCGUGACGACGAGGCACUACGGUGCUGAAGCAACAAAUGCCCUGCUUCCAGGAAAAGCCUCUAAGCAUCAGGUAACAUCAAAUCGUACCCCAAACCGACACAGGUGGUCAGGUAGAGAAUACCAAGGCGCUUGAGAGAACUCGGGUGAAGGAACUAGGCAAAAUGGUGCCGUAACUUCGGGAGAAGGCACGCUGACACGUAGGUGAAGUGAUUUACUCAUGGAGCUGAAGUCAGUCGAAGAUACCAGCUGGCUGCAACUGUUUAUUAAAAACACAGCACUGUGCAAACACGAAAGUGGACGUAUACGGUGUGACGCCUGCCCGGUGCCGGAAGGUUAAUUGAUGGGGUCAGCGCAAGCGAAGCUCCUGAUCGAAGCCCCGGUAAACGGCGGCCGUAACUAUAACGGUCCUAAGGUAGCGAAAUUCCUUGUCGGGUAAGUUCCGACCUGCACGAAUGGCGUAAUGAUGGCCAGGCUGUCUCCACCCGAGACUCAGUGAAAUUGAACUCGCUGUGAAGAUGCAGUGUACCCGCGGCAAGACGGAAAGACCCCGUGAACCUUUACUAUAGCUUGACACUGAACAUUGAGCCUUGAUGUGUAGGAUAGGUGGGAGGCUUUGAAGUGUGGACGCCAGUCUGCAUGGAGCCGACCUUGAAAUACCACCCUUUAAUGUUUGAUGUUCUAACGUGGACCCGUUACCCGGGUUGCGGACAGUGUCUGGUGGGUAGUUUGACUGGGGCGGUCUCCUCCUAAAGAGUAACGGAGGAGCACGAAGGUUGGCUAAUCCUGGUCGGACAUCAGGAGGUUAGUGCAAUGGCAUAAGCCAGCUUGACUGCGAGCGUGACGGCGCGAGCAGGUGCGAAAGCAGGUCAUAGUGAUCCGGUGGUUCUGAAUGGAAGGGCCAUCGCUCAACGGAUAAAAGGUACUCCGGGGAUAACAGGCUGAUACCGCCCAAGAGUUCAUAUCGACGGCGGUGUUUGGCACCUCGAUGUCGGCUCAUCACAUCCUGGGGCUGAAGUAGGUCCCAAGGGUAUGGCUGUUCGCCAUUUAAAGUGGUACGCGAGCUGGGUUUAGAACGUCGUGAGACAGUUCGGUCCCUAUCUGCCGUGGGCGCUGGAGAACUGAGGGGGGCUGCUCCUAGUACGAGAGGACCGGAGUGGACGCAUCACUGGUGUUCGGGUUGUCAUGCCAAUGGCACUGCCCGGUAGCUAAAUGCGGAAGAGAUAAGUGCUGAAAGCAUCUAAGCACGAAACUUGCCCCGAGAUGAGUUCUCCCUGAGACUUAGAGUCUCCUGAAGGAACGUUGAAGACGACGACGUUGAUAGGCCGGGUGUGUAAGCGCAGCGAUGCGUUGAGCUAACCGGUACUAAUGAACCGUGAGGCUUAACCUUACAACGCCGAAG
RNAcentral lists this ribosomal RNA (2766 nucleotides) under Salmonella enterica subsp. enterica serovar Heidelberg. RNAcentral describes it as "bacterial LSU rRNA". It matches the Rfam family "Bacterial large subunit ribosomal RNA". The record is from RNAcentral. Lineage: Bacteria; Pseudomonadati; Pseudomonadota; Gammaproteobacteria; Enterobacterales; Enterobacteriaceae.